This 253-nucleotide ribosomal RNA is filed under the name uncultured bacterium. RNAcentral's name for it is "partial 16S ribosomal RNA". It matches the Rfam family "Bacterial small subunit ribosomal RNA", at positions 524 to 776 of the family's 1533-position model. The record is from RNAcentral.
UACAGAGGUCUCAAGCGUUGUUCGGAUUCAUUGGGCGUAAAGGGUGCGUAGGUGGCGGGGUAAGUCAGGUGUGAAAUUUCGGAGCUCAACUCCGAAACUGCAUUUGAUACUGCCUUGCUUGAGGACUGGAGAGGAGACUGGAAUUCACGGUGUAGCAGUGAAAUGCGUAGAGAUCAGGUGGAACACCGAUGGCGAAGGCAGCCUCCUGGACGGGUACUGACGCUGAGGCGCGAAAGCGUGGGGAGCGAACGGG